CGGUAAUACGUAGGGUGCAAGCGUUAAUCGGAAUUACUGGGCGUAAAGCGUGCGCAGGCGGUUUUGUAAGACAGGCGUGAAAUCCCCGGGCUCAACCCUGGGAAUGGCGCUUGUGACUGCAAAGCUGGAGUGCGGCAGAGGGGGAUGGGAAUUCCGCGUGUAGCAGUGAAAUGCGUAGAUAUGCGGAGGAACACCGAUGGCGAAGGCAAUCCCCUGGGCCUGCACUGACGCUCAUGCACGAAAGCGUGGGGAGCAAACAGGAUUAGAUACCCUGGUAGUCCACGCCCUAAACGAUGUCAACUGGUUGUUGGGUCUCUUCUAACUCAGUAACGAAGCUAACGCGUGAAGUUGACCGCCUGGGGAGUACGGCCGCAAGGUUGAGACUCAAAGGAAUUGACGGGGACCCGCACAAGCGGUGGAUGAUGUGGUUUAAUUCGAUGCAACGUGAAAAACCCUUACCCACCUUUGACAUGUACGGAACUUACCAGAGAUGGUUUGGUGCUCGAAAGAGA
RNAcentral lists this ribosomal RNA (512 nucleotides) under uncultured Hydrogenophaga sp. RNAcentral's name for it is "bacterial SSU rRNA". It matches the Rfam family "Bacterial small subunit ribosomal RNA", at positions 518 to 1027 of the family's 1533-position model. Lineage: Bacteria; Pseudomonadati; Pseudomonadota; Betaproteobacteria; Burkholderiales; Comamonadaceae. The record is from RNAcentral.